Non-coding RNA from Triticum aestivum (bread wheat), 123 nucleotides. NCBI's taxonomy places the organism in Eukaryota, Viridiplantae, Streptophyta, Magnoliopsida, Poales, Poaceae. The record is from Rfam.
GUGUGAAUCCCAGGGCGCUUCUCCAUUGGCACGGCGGCAUGCAUGCACGGAAGCUCCAUGCACGGAAGCUACCUAGCUAGCCAUGCUGUGCGUGCCAAAGGAGAAUUGCCCUGCGAUUCACCU